CCUCCCUGCUGCAGGAAGAGAAUCUAGGUCACAGAUCCUCUCUGAGAACAAGUACAUCUGAUGCUGCCAAGGGAAACAAACUGGCAGGAGAAAGGGGAAUAGACUGGCUUGAAAGCAACAGGAGAAUGGAGAGAAGUAACUCAGUGAUUGAAACGAGGAUACUCUGGGGAAGGAGACAAAAUACUUCACAGACCACAGUGAAGGGAAGGCCAUCUAUCAAAAAACAUCAGUCAAUAUGAACAUUUUGCAAGUUGCAACAAGCAGGGACAGGAAGAUACACAGUGAAACAAAAUACCAUAAAACAGCUUCAUCAGCUAAACUUCAAAUGAAACUGAAAAUAUUUUGCAUCCUGCUGCCUGCACUGUGGAUGAGACUAAUCUUCUACUGGAAUAAAGUUGAUGUUUACUUUUCAAAGCAGAUAAUGUAUUUACUGUCCCAGAAAAAGUUUCUGUUAUUCCAUGUGGAAAACCUUGCUUAGGCCUGGGAAGCAUAGGCUCCAGAGCAACAACUGGAAGAAAAACAUGUGGAGGGCUCAGAAGAUGCGUGUUCUCACUGCAAAGAAAAUAAAGUCCCCUGACUUCAUAGUGUAACAUGGAAACUUCUCAAUACCAAGCUAUUUGACCAAUAAACAACCCAUAUUGGACACCUUGGUGGCACCAAAUUCCAAAUGGUAAGCUUUUUUUCAUACUAUGUAUCUAUGUAGAUAGAACUGACCCUAAUUAAAGUAAAACUAAUCUGUCUAAUGGCUGCAUUAUAUGACUAAUAUCUGGGAAGAAGUCUUCUUCUGCUGUUUCCCUACAGUGUGGGCUAGAAACCUUAAAGCCUAGAAAUUAAUUGAGGAAUGGAUCUAGAAAAAUGGAUCUCUGCUUUAUGGCCAUCUGAGAAGCAUGGAUAAGGGGAAAGUGUAAGUGCAGGAAUACAACACAAGAAUCUAAAGUCCAAACACCUCGGAGGCAGAAGAUCAUCACUGAGCGCCGCUCCUCCAGACGGAUGGUGGUGCCCUUGGCAGAGAAGGAAAUGAAUGCCAGUGGUGUGGAGUGGACAGGAGGUAUCUGUGAAGAAACAGGAAAACACGAGGAGGAUUGCUCUGAUGGACACUGUCUCGUUGAGGUUAAGGAACUGCAGGCAAACCUGACCUGGAGAGUCAUUUUGGAGGACAGCAGGCACCAUCAGGACAUACUGCCUGUGAAAUCCAAACAUCACAGUGAUCACAUUCAUAGGUAAGGGAGAAACAGCCUCAACAGGAUAAAGUGAACACCAAUUACUUUAGAUUAAAUAGGACACACUGCCAGUGCUUCUCACUCUUUCUCAGCUCUGAACCAGCCCAGUCCUGGUACUGCCCACAGCUCCCAGCUCUUGCCCUUUUGCCCUUUAUCUGAGCCCUGGGCCCUCCUGGUUUUGGCAAAGCACCCUGCUGUCACUACUGCUAGUGCCUUUUCUGGACACACGUCAACUUCCAUGGAAGUUCUGCAAUAGGUGAAGGUCAGAUAGUAUUAAAUGAGAACGAUUCACUUGCCAUCCCCAUUCCACUUUAGCUCUCCAGAUAUAAAAUAUGAGCCCUGGAUUGUUAAAUUUUUAGAGAAAAAUUAAUAAUAUUGAUUAGCACUGUCUUUAAAGCCUUUUCACAAAUUCUAAUAGUAGUAAUAGGGUGGUUCUUACGGCUCAGGCUCCUUUGCAGCUGUUACAUGCCAGAGAAGAAUAGCCAAAAGAAACUUCAGCCACAUUUUUCUCACUGGGAGACAGAAGAAAGAGAUAAGUUCUCUUCCCAUGAAACAAUUCCUUGCCUACUAGUUUAACAGCUCUGCAGCAUUCCUCAUCCAGUGCUCCAGAGGAAAGGAGUUUGCUCUUCAACUCCUCCCUGGCUCCUUCCUUUGAUGUUAGUGCCUUUAUAACUGCAGCAAGGGGUGGAGAUCCCAGUCUAUCCUAUUCCUUGCAAGAACCUCCCCUAACACUACUGCAACCAAAAUUCAACCCACCAUCUCCAGACUGUAACAUUUCACUGCACUUCUCUGAAUGUCUGCACAAAAUACCUUUAGUGGACUUGUUUUCAAGGAAAGGGGCUUUGGGUUUUACACUGAGGCUUGUCACAGAACUGAAAAGCACAAAGUGACGCAAACCCGAGUAAGUCUGUCAAACCAGAUUAACAUUUGAGGGUUAUCCCCAUUGUUCUUGUAAUUUACCCACUGGAUUGACAGUCUAGGUAAAGUAGAGCAAUUUUCUAUACUUUGUCACCAGAUUCUGGCUAAAAUAAUACACUGACCUCUCUUUUCCCUUGCUUCAUAGGUAUUUUGAAAAUUGACUAAGUGGAAAAUAGAGAAGCUAGAAACAGAAAGAGAUCUAAAAAGUCUUAAUUACUUCUACCUUAGCCAUUGAGAACAUGACAGCACCGUGGAAGUUUGAUUUCAUUUCAGCUUGGAAUUAGCCAGUUGCUGGGUCUAUGGGAAUUUGUUAGUUCCCCAGGUUUCCAGUUUUCACACCUGUGUAGAAGCUAAUGGAGUUUUUUAUUAGGGAGAAGGAAGUUCUUUUGUUCUUCUGUACUCUGAAGAGAAAACAAAGCACUCAGGUGGGCUGCUCGCCACAAGAAAAACAAUGCUGGAGAGCAGUUAUUUGAAAACUCUAAAUAAUUUUUUUCAAUUAAUAUUGGUACUGGGUCUGUCUGUCAUGAGGUUAUGAAGUCAGCUUUCUCCACAGCAGCCUGCUGUGCUCUGCAUUUGAGGCUAGAACAGUGUUCUUAACUCACCAGUGUUUUGGCUCUUGUUAAAGAGUGCUUGCAGAGUGUCUGGGCUUUCUACCUCCCCCACCUCCCAGCCAAAAGCCAGGGGGCUUGGGGUGGGCAAGGGACUGUGAGAGGCCACAGCCAGGACAGAUGACCCAAACAGGCCAAAGGAAUAUUCUGUACACACCACAUGACACCAUGCUUAGCAAAAACAGGUGGGGGAAAGGAGGAGGAGGGACAUUUGUGGUAAUAGCAUUUGUCUUCUGAAGCAACCACUACCUUUACAGAGGCCUUACUUCUUGGAGUGGCUGGAUAUCUGCCUGCCAAGGGGAAGCAGUGAAUAAGUCCCUCUUUUAGCUUCUCUUUCAUGUGCACCUCCUGCUUUCCUUUUUAAACUGUUGUUACUUCAACUCAUUUGACUAAAUUCUAGUUUCCUUCUUGGGAGUGAGUGAAAGAUUGGGUGGCUGAUUGGCUGCCAGAGAGAUAUGUUUCCAAGGACAGAGUACCUGUAUGGGACCAUGAUUUUCUCUAAUAUCCUGAUAUCUUUUAUGACUUUCUCUUUUAGUUUCUUGCUAGUCUGUGAAAAUUUCUUCAAUAGAAACAUAGGGCACAUAGAGUGGCUAUGACAUGUUCUCCCUUAUGACUUCUAAUUCUUCACAGAAGUAUCAAACCAUGUGGAAGUGGAACAUGCCAGAAGAAGCAGAUGGCUCCCCAGAGGUCUCUCUGUGGCAUGGUGUGGGUGCUUAGAACACAAACAACAGAGUGAGGUUCUGUUCUGAAAGCCCACCUCACUGUUGUUUCUAUUGCAGAGGAUCUCUACAGAUUUUACAGUUGAGGAGCUUCCCUAAGGAUCAGGUAUUAUUUUCUCUGCAAUGGAAUACCCACACCAGCAGCUGCCAAGAACAGAAAUUCACUGACAAGGGCUUGAACUUGAGCUGACAUUGUGGAAAAAGGAGAUGACCAGUACUGCAGGUUCUUGCUUUUCUUGGCUUUCUGAGGCAGUUACAAACUUCUUGCAACUUAUUGCAAGUGUUCAUUCCAAACAAGUCAAUUUGCUAGUCAUCACAAUCCAGAAACUUUCUGAGUCUACUUUUGAGCGUUUAAUCAGAGGUUUGAGUGGGUUAGGUGACAUCCAAAGGUAUACAGAGAAGGGUGGUUGUGUGUAACUUACUGUUAUAACGAGGAGACAUUUUGCCCCAAAUUCAGGCUGGAUUGUGGCUUUGGUCAGAAAGUGCACUGUUGUAUCUCCAAGAACUGGCACUAGUCACGAUGUCUUCUGUGCACAUAUAGCUUCUGAACAGUAACCAAAUGAAGGACAAAGAUUAGCCAUGAAUCCUAUACCCAGGUCAUCCACUGCACUAGUUCAAAACCUCCACUAAUCACAGUGAAGAAGGUGCAUCUGGUAAGGAAAUAAACAAAAAAUGCAAUAAUCUGUAAUAGAGAAGCUAUUGAAUUAAUAGGUUGGCAACCAAACAAGUCUCCUGGAUGAAAAAAAUACCCACUGUAAUCUUAUAACAACAAAGGAAAACAGAGGCCAUCCCAUCUUCUUGGCUAUAGCAUAUAAUAACUUGUCUUCCACAGGAGAGUCAAACAAUGUUCCAUUGGACACAAUAAAAAGGUUGUUUUCAGGGCAAAUUUUUAUGAAACCAUUGACAUUUGUUUUUCAUGAUUUUUUUUAUCAUUAUUAUUUGUUGACUGCAUGUCUUUGCUUUUCAAAUCCUACCCAUUCUUUCUAACUCAACUGCAUAUGUUCAAGAAGCUUGUGAAGAUUGCUCUGUGGGGAAGUCAGAGAGAAGAAACCUCAUCACCAGAUAGAGGCAAAACUUGCACAGGAGUUGUCUUCCUGGGAUUAGAAUUCUGUCAUCUGUAGAUGAUUCAGUUCAAUUGCUGAAAAAGGUUCUACAGAGGCCUGCUGGGUCACCUACCUGUUUCAUAGUAAUCAUAUAUAUGUACAGGCACUGGUUUGAUGUCUGACACAGCCAGGCUUUGCUCCACACCAAAGGAGAAGCUGAUUUCCUUCUGAGAGACCUGGAAAUGGCAAGACAAGAAGAUGCAUCAGAACUUUUCAUAGCUAUCCCUGAGGCUUAGGUUGAACAGAUUCAUUUCUGAAUCAGACUGUGUGACAAUGUGCCAUUCUACAUUUCCCUCCAGUUUCUAAACUUGAUGUUAAAUCAGAUAAUUGUUUAAAGGCUGUUGCUAAAUAUGUUUUGUUGCUAAAAUUGUGCGCUCUUUUCUUUCUUCCUCUUCCUAUUUCCAUUGCCAAUUACCCCAACUUAAUUCCCUGUCAGUGUGGUUUUCAGCACAUCAGCAUUCAUUCUGCAAUCAAAAAUUGCUGUUAGUUUCUUUCUUUGCCUUUUCCCACCUAAAAGCACCUUCAGUACCCAUAAGAAUCUUCUCCCUACUUUUCUCCCUUUAAUUACUUUGAUGGCAUUAUCUCCAUUAUCCCCUGUGAUGUUGGAUUGAAUAAAGUACCUCUUUAAGGCA
Non-coding RNA from Cyanistes caeruleus (blue tit), 5200 nucleotides. The record is from RefSeq and is a predicted model, not a curated record. Lineage: Eukaryota; Metazoa; Chordata; Aves; Passeriformes; Paridae.